This is an RNA transcript of Brassica oleracea var. oleracea, 1133 nucleotides long. It is a transcript of the gene named NAC domain-containing protein 69-like, with no coding region annotated. The record is from RefSeq and is a predicted model, not a curated record. Lineage: Eukaryota; Viridiplantae; Streptophyta; Magnoliopsida; Brassicales; Brassicaceae. The transcript has 2 exons.
UCUCUUUAUUUUAUUUUAUUUAUUUUUUGAUCAAAUAUCCCCUUUAUUUCUUAUGGCACAAUCACCUUGAAUUAAAAACUGAAAAUCUAGAACCUCUUCUUCUUCAUUGUUUGCUUACGAUCUCUCAUCAUCCAAGUAAAUGAAAAAUUAUCCCGUGGGGUUUAGGUCUAGUCCUAUGGAUGAGGAAUUGAUAAACUUUUAUCAGAAGAACAGAAUUCUGGGUAAUAGUUGGCUCCUUGACGAUUCGAUCAGCGAGAUCAACAUCUAUAGCUACGAACCAGCGUUUCUGCCUGAGGCCAAGGAGGACUACACGUUCUGGGUUUUGGAAAGUUACGAUAGGAAAAUCAAGGAUAAGGGAACACUGGAUCUGCUCUUUCCGAGAGAAAGUUCACCGGUUCGGGUGACACUCUUCAUCUUGCUCCUCCUGUAACCUCUCUCUUCCGCCAUCACUUAUCACUGUGCUACACAGGACUCGCCGAACUUUAUACCGUCCAAUCCUCCUCCCCCUCUCGGCCGUCACUCCUCACUUCCUCGCCUCACCGUCAGAUCUGCCGUCACAUCCGUUCGGUCAUUUAAUCCUUUUCCAAGUCUUAGAAACACCAAAGUCUUUGUCUUUGCUCUGUUCUUGGCUAGAGUUUGGUUUUUUCCCUGUUCUUGUUCACCUUUAUGCUCUAUGUUACAAUUUAAAGUCUUUACUUGCCUAUAGUUUAUGUAUUUACUCCGUUUCUUCUCUGUUUUGGUCAUGAAGAACACUUGACUAAAGUUUUUAUCUUGACUAAAGUACGGUGCUUUGAUUGUUACGACAGCAGAGAGGGAGCGUGGAAGUUGGAACCAUGAUGAAUGCAUUUUUGGGGGUUGAUACACUUAAGCGAUGAAGAGAGUUGUAGUCUGCUCUAAUAAAUUGAUUUUGUUUGAUACUCAAGAUAAUAUAUUGAUAUGGUAUCAGUUGAACUCCAGAAGCAAAGCUAUUGUGACCAAAGGUUUGGCUUUUAAAAACUUUUAGUUGUAGGGGAAGUUCAGAGCUUGAGAUGUCUCGUUUUCGAAAAUUGAUUUGUGGUUCUUGUCGUCUCAUUAUAGGACUUACACUUCGAAAUCGAUUCUGGGUUAAGUCUCUGACUGUUUUUUCAUGUCUG